RNAcentral lists this long non-coding RNA (1085 nucleotides) under Capra hircus (goat). RNAcentral's name for it is "lncRNA (ENSCHIG00010006125.1)". The record is from RNAcentral. Lineage: Eukaryota; Metazoa; Chordata; Mammalia; Artiodactyla; Bovidae.
GGUCACAAAGAGGCAGACACGACUGAGCAACUGAACUGAACUGAACUGAAUCAUAUGCUUAGCUGUUUAAUUUUUUUAAUCUCUCUCUCUCGUCAGACCAUAAGUCCAUGAGAACAAGGGCAGAUCUGUUUGGUGUAUCACCAUAUCCCCAAUCCCCAACACUGUCUGGCAUGUAAUAAUAGAGGCUUAAUAUAUUGCAUAAGUGACCAAGUGAAUGUCUUCAAUAAAAAGAGGAUAAUAAUAACCUCACAUUGCUAACACUUCCCCCUUAGGAUUAGAGGUAGAAAGUUGAUGGCUGUCUUGAAUUGAAGGCAUUUGAUAGCUGCUGCUACUGCUCUUUGUGCUCUUAGAGUUUCAUGUGAUUCUGAAUAUCCUGGUAUUUCUAUUCAAAGAGAGACUACCACUUAUGCUUAUUUCAUGGUUCCUGACACUUGGUUAACAAUUUAAUUUUAAAUCACUACUGAGAUUUGCCUCGAAUGGAAAAAAUAAUUUUAUCUAGGUUGUUUAAAAUGUAUGAGCCUUACUGUACUGUGUAGAACAGCAAAAAUAAUUUGCUGCUUCGGUUGUGAAAUAAAAACUUAUUUCUCUGCAUGUGUUAUUUCUUCCCCCUACCUAGUGUAAGUAACAGAUCCAGUAUUAUCUCUAUAAUAAGAUUUUGAUUGAAUGGUAGGUAAGGCUCUAGCCUAAGCCAUAUUAAAAUGUACUUUUCCAGAGUAUGCUUCGUUUCAGGGCUAAAGGGGAUGCAAAUGUGAAGUGGCAUGAUGGAUUUGACUGCAGCAACUUCUUACUUGGUGAUUUGGCAGAACUAGAGCGUGUCUUCUACUCCCUGUGGGUUUCUGCCACUUGACGGGCUGUGUGGGAGAGUGCCUGUCUCCUUGAUCAGCUGGGAGGGCUUCCCUGCUCUUCACACGCCCUGGAUUGUAGCAGCAGCAGAAGCUGAGCUGGAAGUUGGUGUUUAUUUCUCCACUCACAGCUUCUGCCCUUUCCUGCAAAAGGAAAUCGAGAAACCACUCGUAAUUUACCAGAUAACCCCAGAAGCCUUGGUCGACAGACCAAAUUCUCCAGUCAAAGCUACGGGCUCCUGA